RNAcentral lists this ribosomal RNA (369 nucleotides) under uncultured organism. RNAcentral describes it as "bacterial SSU rRNA". It matches the Rfam family "Bacterial small subunit ribosomal RNA", at positions 526 to 896 of the family's 1533-position model. The record is from RNAcentral.
CGGAGGAUCCAAGUCGUUAUCCGGAUUCAUUGGGUUUAAAGGGUGCGUAGGCGGAAUAAUAAGUCAGUGGUGAAAGCCCUCAGCUUAACUGAGGAACUGCCAUUGAUACUGUUAAUCUUGAGUACAUUUGAUGUGGGCGGAAUGUGUCAUGUAGCGGUGAAAUGCUUAGAUAUGACACAGAACACCGAUUGCGAAGGCAGCUCACAAAACUGUAACUGACGCUGAGGCACGAAAGCGUGGGUAUCAAACAGGAUUAGAUACCCUGGUAGUCCACGCUGUAAACUAUGAUUACUCGAUGUUUGCGAUAUACUGUAAGCGUCUAAGCGAAAGCAAUAAGUAAUCCACCUGGGGAGUACGCUCGCAAGAGUG